Molecule: non-coding RNA, 1448 nt
Organism: Saimiri boliviensis boliviensis (Bolivian squirrel monkey)
Lineage: Eukaryota; Metazoa; Chordata; Mammalia; Primates; Cebidae
Source: RefSeq, a predicted model, not a curated record
UGGCCAAUGAUGUGUGAUUUUGUUUUAACAAAAGAAAAAAGGAGGGGGACAAACCUGUCUUGAAUAUGGCAAAAUGUUGCUUUUAUUGACUCUUCAGGAGGUGAGUACAUGUGUUAGGUUAUCCUCUGAACUUUUCUGUGUGCCCAAGAUACAUGAUAAUGAAAACUGUGUGGAAAAAAAAACAAAGGGCAUGUGUAGUUCCAGGUUCCUGUCAGUGAGUUCUAGAAAAAAGAGGCCCUGGCUCGUGAGGACCUACUCCCUGCUAGGUCUUACAGGUCAAUUGUAGUGGAGCACAAGACCUGCUCAUAGGCCUUGUCCUGAGCCCACUGAGCUGGGCAGGUGCCGGGCCCUGUUCUGUUUUCUCACUGCAGCCCAGGGACCAACCAUGCUAGACAUUGAACUGGGUUCUGCUUCAGCUCAUCAUAUUCUUCUGCUUUGCUCUAAUCUGGCCUCUUCUGAGGCAAUGGAGCGUGGUGGAAUGGGUUUGCCUCCCAAUAGUUGGGAGCUUGGCUUGCGGGGCUGAACUUCUAGUGACUUUGGGCAGGUGGACUUCUAGCAUCCCUUUCCUGGCAGGGCCUGCUACUUGGGUCACUCCCUUGGUUGCCAGGAAACCUAGUCUUAGCAAGGAGUUGUGCCUGUGUCUGUAGGCCCCAGAGAAAAACAGACUCUUCUGACUUUAACAGAUGCAGAGCAGAGAGCUUGCUCAGGUUAUUUAGGAAGGCAGAUUAGAACAUUGGUUGCCCUAACACAGGGCCAGACCCAUGUGGACUCCACUUUAGACUUCAGGGUCCAGGGCUGGGCAAGAUAGGCUUCCCAGGAAGAGCAGGAUGCAGCAGAAGCUGUGUCCAUCCAGGGAGGAGGAUGUUGCUUUUUGUUUGUACCCCAGGUCUGGAAAGGGGCUCUCAUGCAGGUUGCUUAUGGAUUGGGAGCCGAUUCCAGAGAGCCCCCUAGGCCAUAGCUUCUGCCACAGCCUCCUUUGCCACUGGAGAGAAAGAGGUGACCUUCCAUUCCGUUGGAAGGAUGACCCCUGAGGACAUUCGCCAGCAAGCAUCCCUCUUCCUCGGCUGCUGGGAGUGUCCCUUGGAGCCUCUUCCAGUCUGACCCCCUCACCAUCUCAGGAAUGACAUCAAGGAACACAGAUCUGCAUCUGAGACCCAGGGCCCAAUCUGGAUGGGAAAGGCUGAGUUGUCUCUGAUGCUCUCCUGACUCAGGCUCUACAGGGAGAUGGAAGAGGCACCCUCCUCUUCCUCUUCCUCCCUGGUUUCUCCUCUUUUGCCCUGACCAGGAUUCCUCCCUGAGUCAUUCUAUCCCACACUGCCACUCAGCUCUGAACUUGAAUGACUGAGUGAUCCCAGGGCCUGCUGCCUGAACUUAGGGAAAGAACACAUGAUGAAAAGAUUCUUGGUCCAGCAGCAGUCCCUGAAAUGAAAGGACCGAGACAGAUGGAG